RNAcentral lists this ribosomal RNA (327 nucleotides) under uncultured eukaryote. RNAcentral's name for it is "partial 18S ribosomal RNA". It matches the Rfam family "Eukaryotic small subunit ribosomal RNA", at positions 1470 to 1796 of the family's 1831-position model. The record is from RNAcentral.
CCCUUAGAUGUUCUGGGCCGCACGCGCGCUACACUGAUUCAUGCAACGAGUUUUGUCCUUGGCUGAAAGGCCUGGGUAAUCUUUGAACGUGAAUCGUGCUGGGGGUAGAUGAUUGCAAUUAUUCAUCUUCAACGAGGAAUUCCUAGUAAACGCAAGUCAUCAGCUUGCAUUGAUUACGUCCCUGCCCUUUGUACACACCGCCCGUCGCACCUACCGAUUGAAUGGUCCGGUGAAAUCUUCGGAUCUGAGAGAUGUUGGAUUAAUUUCUGACGCCUUUUGGAAAAGUCGCUUAAACCUUAUCAUUUAGAGGAAGGUGAAGUCGUAACA